Molecule: ribosomal RNA, 447 nt
Filed under: uncultured bacterium
Lineage: Bacteria
Description: bacterial SSU rRNA
Rfam family: Bacterial small subunit ribosomal RNA
Source: RNAcentral
UCGCCAGACUCCUACGGGAGGCAGCAGUGGGGGAUAUUGCACAAUGGGCGAAAGCCUGAUGCAGCGACGCCGCGUGAGGGAAGACGGUCUUCGGAUUGUAAACCUCUGUCUUUGGGGAAGAAUAGAGACGGUACCCAAAGAGGAAGCUCCGGCUAACUACGUGCCAGCAGCCGCGGUAAUACGUAGGGAGCGGGCGUUGUCCGGAAUUACUGGGUGUAAAGGGAGCGUAGGCGGGAGGAUAAGUUGAAUGUGAAAUCUAUGGGCUCAACCCAUAGCUGCGUUCAAAACUGUUCUUCUUGAGUGAAGUAGAGGCAGGCGGAAUUCCUAGUGUAGUGGUGAAAUGCGUAGAUAUUAGGAGGAACACCAGUGGCGAAGGCGGCCUGCUGGGCUUUUACUGACGCUGAGGCUCGAAAGCGUGGGUAGCAAACAGGAUUAGAUCCCCCCGUA